This 1655-nucleotide long non-coding RNA is filed under the name Ricinus communis (castor bean). RNAcentral's name for it is "long non-coding RNA (RCOM_LNC000421)". Lineage: Eukaryota; Viridiplantae; Streptophyta; Magnoliopsida; Malpighiales; Euphorbiaceae. The record is from RNAcentral.
AAUUUGUUAAUACUUUUUCCAUUACUGUCUUUACAAUUUGCUCUCCAGUAUAUGCUUGGGUAAUCUUCUUUUUGAGAAAUGUGAAACUUGAAUCUCAUGACCCAAUUUCAGUUGUAACCAGUUCCAGAAGUAAAGAGAGCCUAUGGUAUGGCUAUGUGCAAGCAAAAGUCUUAAGACUUGCAUCUAAAAAUAGAUAAUGAACCUCAAGUGCGAAUUUGAUUUGUUGAAGUGCAAUUCUGGUUUGGUAUUGCGAUGAUCUUUUUGUAGAAUUUAGUUUCCUGACUCCGUUGAUGUUGGAAUAGAUUGAGUUUGAAUUUCUGGCUCGUCUUGUUGCACCUUUGUUCAAAUUAUAAUCAUGUUACAUGGGUAAGUAAGAUCAGGUGCUGGAAGCAGAAUCCUACAGCUCCACCAGUAUGAGAGAUGAUGUCAGUGAAGUAUCUUAACAGGAGAUGUGAGAUUUUUUUGCUACAGUGCAAGAGGAUGUUUUGUGAUACCCAUCAGCAACAUAUAUUAAAGAUAAACAUGUGUAGCAUUAGAAAACUAAACAUACGAAACUCUUGUGGUUAGGCACUUAGCAUAAGUAUAACAAAUUCGUAACAGUGCACUCCAAAUUAGGAGGGCAGCUAGAUGAAAUCAUUCUGACAAUUGGAGAAAUUUCCUCUCCUAGGCAACAAGUUGGACAUGGUUGAUAUUUAUUUGUCCUGCCUAUGCAGAAUGUAUGAAUUUAGAUGUAUAAAUAGUCAAAAUGUGGCGAUUUUUUAAUUUUCAUUUUCUCAUUAUAAUAAAAGGAAGAGGAGUUAACUUCAUUUUCACCAACUCCCAAUUAUGAAUUUCUCUCUUUGAUUCAAACAUGCACCAUGAACUUCAUUGAACUGUUGCUUUGUUAAUAUCCUAACCUUAUUUUAGGAUACUCCUAAAAGUUUCAGUAAUAGGUAAACAUGAACAAGUAGAUAUGAAACUGGUAGGCCCCUUGAAUGAUCUUGUUCUGGGGGCUCCUCAUGGCCAAAAUGCUAAGGAUAAGGUUGGAAUAUUGAAGUGCAGAGAAAAGCUGAAUGGUUGAGAGCACAUCAUAACACAAGUCAGUACUCAUUGCUUAGAUGAUGAAGACACCAUUUAUAGUAUUGAGAUUUCCAGUGGCAGGAAGUUUGCAUGUCCUGCAGUAAAGGUCUUGCCUUCAAUGAGUUGAAGUAUGCUUUCAGUUAUAAAUAUCCCUUGGUCAAACAAGUGUUGUAAAAAUGUUGAACAAAUAACCAUUAUUCCAUGUGAUAAUGAAGCCCUAUCCUGCAUUAAAAGUGUAAUAGGAUGAAUGUGAAUUAUAUGAUUUAUCAGAUCUAGUUAACAUGCUAUCUACUCAUUUGUUAUCAUUGUCAUAAAGUUUUUCUUCCUUUGCUGAAGGCACUGUUGAAUAACCAAACAGUAAAAAUGUGCAACUAAGACAUGCUUAUAAAUUUGUUCAUUCUGUCAUUUAAUUUUCCUUGAUUUAGUAUCUUAAUCUUCUAAAUCUCGAGUUCCAAAUUUUUUCUUGUGUUCUUUUUUCAAAAAUAUUUAAUUAAUCUAGCAUGUAGAGUUCAAUUAUAUGUAAAGAAUUUGCAACUUCUAAUCAAGAGUGACUUUUUUUUUUUUUUUUUUUUUUUUUUCAAACAUCUAUUCGAUAG